RNAcentral lists this ribosomal RNA (481 nucleotides) under uncultured bacterium. RNAcentral's name for it is "partial 16S ribosomal RNA". It matches the Rfam family "Bacterial small subunit ribosomal RNA", at positions 28 to 507 of the family's 1533-position model. The record is from RNAcentral.
GAUGAACGCUGGCGGCGUGCUUAACACAUGCAAGUCGAACGAAGCAUUUAGAACAGAUUACUUCGGUUUGAAGUUCUUUAUGACUGAGUGGCGGACGGGUGAGUAACGCGUGGGUAACCUGCCUUGUACUGGGGGAUAGCAGCUGGAAACGGCUGGUAAUACCGCAUAAGCGCACAAUGUUGCAUGACAUGGUGUGAAAAACUCCGGUGGUAUAGGAUGGACCCGCGUCUGAUUAGCUAGUUGGUGAGAUAACAGCCCACCAAGGCGACGAUCAGUAGCCGACCUGAGAGGGUGACCGGCCACAUUGGGACUGAGACACGGCCCAGACUCCUACGGGAGGCAGCAGUGGGGAAUAUUGCACAAUGGAGGAAACUCUGAUGCAGCGACGCCGCGUGAGUGAAGAAGUAAUUCGUUAUGUAAAGCUCUAUCAGCAGGGAAGAUAGUGACGGUACCUGACUAAGAAGCUCCGGCUAAAUACGUG